CGCACCUUGCGCUCCUUGGUAUUCCGAGGAGCAUGCCUGUUUGAGUGUCAUUAAAUUCUCAACCUUUUCAGCUUUUGCAAGUUGGAUUGGCUUGGAUGUGGAGGUUAUUGCGGGCUUCUCUAGAAGUCGGCUCCUCUUAAAUGCAUUAGCGGAACCUUUGUGGACCAGCUUUUGGUGUGAUAAUUAUCUACGCCAUGGUUGUGAAGCAGCUUUAACAUGGGGUUCAGCUUCUAACAGUCCAUUGACUUGGACAAAUUUAUGACAUUUUUGACCUCAAAUCAGGUAGGACUACCCGCUGAACUUAA
RNAcentral lists this unclassified non-coding RNA (305 nucleotides) under Collybia sordida. RNAcentral describes it as "Lepista sordida partial contains 5.8S ribosomal RNA, internal transcribed spacer 2, and large subunit ribosomal RNA". The record is from RNAcentral. Lineage: Eukaryota; Fungi; Basidiomycota; Agaricomycetes; Agaricales; Clitocybaceae.